RNAcentral lists this ribosomal RNA (1458 nucleotides) under uncultured organism. RNAcentral's name for it is "16S ribosomal RNA". It matches the Rfam family "Bacterial small subunit ribosomal RNA". The record is from RNAcentral.
GUGCCUAAUACAUGCAAGUAGAACGCUGAAGAGAGGAGCUUGCUCUUCUUGGAUGAGUUGCGAACGGGUGAGUAACGCGUAGGUAACCUGCCUUGUAGCGGGGGAUAACUAUUGGAAACGAUAGCUAAUACCGCAUAACAAUGGAUGACACAUGUCAUUUAUUUGAAAGGGGCAAUUGCUCCACUACAAGAUGGACCUGCGUUGUAUUAGCUAGUAGGUGAGGUAACGGCUCACCUAGGCGACGAUACAUAGCCGACCUGAGAGGGUGAUCGGCCACACUGGGACUGAGACACGGCCCAGACUCCUACGGGAGGCAGCAGUAGGGAAUCUUCGGCAAUGGGGGCAACCCUGACCGAGCAACGCCGCGUGAGUGAAGAAGGUUUUCGGAUCGUAAAGCUCUGUUGUAAGUCAAGAACGAGUGUGAGAGUGGAAAGUUCACACUGUGACGGUAGCUUACCAGAAAGGGACGGCUAACUACGUGCCAGCAGCCGCGGUAAUACGUAGGUCCCGAGCGUUGUCCGGAUUUAUUGGGUGUAAAGCGAGCGCAGGCGGUUUGAUAAGUCUGAAGUUAAAGGCUGUGGCUCAACCAUAGUUCGCUUUGGAAACUGUCAAGCUUGAGUGCAGAAGGGGAGAGUGGAAUUCCAUGUGUAGCGGUGAAAUGCGUAGAUAUAUGGAGGAACACCGGUGGCGAAAGCGGCUCUCUGGUCUGUAACUGACGCUGAGGCUCGAAAGCGUGGGGAGCGAACAGGAUUAGAUACCCUGGUAGUCCACGCCGUAAACGAUGAGUGCUAGGUGUUGGAUCCUUUCCGGGAUUCAGUGCCGCAGCUAACGCAUUAAGCACUCCGCCUGGGGAGUACGACCGCAAGGUUGAAACUCAAAGGAAUUGACGGGGGCCCGCACAAGCGGUGGAGCAUGUGGUUUAAUUCGAAGCAACGCGAAGAACCUUACCAGGUCUUGACAUCCCGAUGCUAUUUCUAGAGAUAGAAAGUUACUUCGGUACAUCGGUGACAGGUGGUGCAUGGUUGUCGUCAGCUCGUGUCGUGAGAUGUUGGGUUAAGUCCCGCAACGGGCGCAACCCCUAUUGUUAGUUGCCAUCAUUCAGUUGGGCACUCUAGCGAGACUGCCGGUAAUAAACCGGAGGAAGGUGGGGAUGACGUCAAAUCAUCAUGCCCCUUAUGACCUGGGCUACACACGUGCUACAAUGGUUGGUACAACGAGUUGCGAGUCGGUGACGGCAAGCUAAUCUCUUAAAGCCAAUCUCAGUUCGGAUUGUAGGCUGCAACUCGCCUACAUGAAGUCGGAAUCGCUAGUAAUCGCGGAUCAGCACGCCGCGGUGAAUACGUUCCCGGGCCUUGUACACACCGCCCGUCACACCACGGGAGUUUGUAACACCCGAAGUCGGUGAGGUAACCUCUUGGAGCCAGCCGCCUAAGGUGGGAUAGAUGAUUGGGGUGAAGU